RNAcentral lists this transfer RNA (76 nucleotides) under Cordylochernes scorpioides. Its description in RNAcentral is "tRNA-Thr". Lineage: Eukaryota; Metazoa; Arthropoda; Arachnida; Pseudoscorpiones; Chernetidae. The record is from RNAcentral.
GUGUCCAGGGAUGGGAAUCGAACCCACAAUGUUCCGCUUACCGGGCAGAUGCCAUGUCCACUAGGAUCACUGGAAA